This 376-nucleotide ribosomal RNA is filed under the name uncultured bacterium. Its description in RNAcentral is "bacterial SSU rRNA". It matches the Rfam family "Bacterial small subunit ribosomal RNA", at positions 524 to 898 of the family's 1533-position model. The record is from RNAcentral.
AACGUAGGAUCCGAGCGUUAUCCGAAUUCACUGGGCGUAAAGCGCGUGCAGGCGGCAUAGCAAGUUGGAUGUGAAAACUCCCGGCUCAACUGGGAGAGGACGUUCAAAACUGCUAGGCUAGAGGAUGGUAGAGGAAGGUAGAAUUCCCGGUGUAGUGGUGAAAUGCGUAGAUAUCGGGAGGAAUACCAGUGGCGAAGGCGGCCUUCUGGGCCAUACCUGACGCUCAGACGCGAAAGCUAGGGGAGCAAACGGGAUUAGAAACCCCGGUAGUCCUAGCCGUAAACGAUGUAGACUUGGCGUCAGAGGUGUAAAAACCUUUGGUGCCGAAGCAAACGCGAUAAGUCUACCGCCUGGGGACUACGGCCGCAAGGUUAAA